This 263-nucleotide ribosomal RNA is filed under the name uncultured bacterium. RNAcentral's name for it is "partial 16S ribosomal RNA". The record is from RNAcentral.
CUGCUGCCUCCCGUAGGAGUAUGGACCGUUCUCAGUUCCAUUGUGGCCGUUCAACCUCUCAGUCCGGCUACGCAUCAUCGCCUUGGUAGGCCCUUACCCCACCAACUAGCUAAUGCGCCACAGGCCCCUCCUUAAGCAGAUCUCUCUUUUAAAUAUAAAAGAUUCUUCCUCUAUAUCCUAUCCAGUUUUAUCCAUCGUUUCCAAUGGCUAUCCUCGUCUUAAGGGUAGGUUACCUAUGUAUUACUCACCCGUUCGCCACUAAA